AGGAAUUUUAGUGUUUAAGUUUUUGUCAAAUAAUUUUUUUUCUUAUUUUUGAAUUUCAAAUUUUUUCAAAAAUAUUUGAAGACUUUGAGAAUUUGAAUAAAAAAUUCUAGAAUUUAAGAAAAGAAUACUAACAAUUUGCACACACACAAAAAAAUAUUACGGUAAUGACAAAAGUAACUUACUUUUGAAUCAAAAAGUUGUUAAAAUUUGCUACAUUAAAAGUUUUUUUCUUGUUUUGAAAAUGAAAACUUUCACUGCUACAGUUUUUGAAAAUCUCAUUGCUCACUGAUUUAAAAGUUUUUCCUUUUAAUUCGACUGUAAAAUUUCUUUCAUUUUGACGUUCUCGUGUAACCGUGUACGCCUAAGUCGCAAAUGUAAACAAACACUUUGGUGGGUCCGGUGGUGCUGGUGAGUCUAGGACGCAAAGCAAAGCCGACCGCGGCAGUAGCCAUGACUCGGACGCGGAAACCUUCGUGAGCCAAACAGCAGCAGCGGAACGCCUUCGAAGGAGGGUGGUGCAGGAGUGGGACGAUGUUGAGUGCUCGAAAAGGACAAGGCCAGCUUUCUGCAGGAACUGCAGCUGUUCCACGGCCGGAAUUCGAUGAGAAGUAGGAAUGUGGAUUCGCACCGGUUGUAUUCGGUGGUGGUGGCCCGGGAUUGGUGAUUGAAGGUCAAUUCCCGCGAGGACUGUAACGAGAUCAUCGAGGAGAUGGCGCUGCCGAAGCGUUGCGUGAAAAACGAGAUUGCGUUGAAGAAGAUUAACUUCCGGUUUUUGGACAAGUACGAGAAAGUUUAUUUUCACGGUGAGGAGAGGAUCCGACGAAGAGGAGGACGACGAAAAGCUACAUAAUCGGAGGUGGUCAGCGCAGAUGUUGCACUCGGUGCCGGCGGUUUACAACACCGCAACUUCCCGCCCACAAACACUCACCUCGCGACGGCGCAGCUUCAGCCGAAUGAACCUGGACAGUGAGCCAAAAAAAAAUCUGUGUCAUUCCCGAAGUAGGAUUACGUGCUCAAAAUAGAAUUCCGUUCCGAGG
Long non-coding RNA from Culex pipiens pallens (northern house mosquito), 1037 nucleotides. RefSeq lists it as uncharacterized. The record is from RefSeq and is a predicted model, not a curated record. The transcript has 3 exons. Lineage: Eukaryota; Metazoa; Arthropoda; Insecta; Diptera; Culicidae.